RNAcentral lists this ribosomal RNA (497 nucleotides) under uncultured bacterium. Its description in RNAcentral is "partial 16S ribosomal RNA". It matches the Rfam family "Bacterial small subunit ribosomal RNA", at positions 28 to 507 of the family's 1533-position model. The record is from RNAcentral.
GAUGAACGCUGGCGGCGUGCCUAAUACAUGCAAGUCGAGCGAACAGAUGAGGAGCUUGCUCCUCUGACGUUAGCGGCGGACGGGUGAGUGACACGUGGAUAACCUACCUAUAAGACUGGGAUAACUUCGGGAAACCGGAGCUAAUACCGGAUAAUAUAUUGAACCGCAUGGUUCAAUAGUGAAAGACGGUUUUGCUGUCACUUAUAGAUGGAUCCGCGCCGCAUUAGCUAGUUGGUAAGGUAACGGCUUACCAAGGCAACGAUGCGUAGCCGACCUGAGAGGGUGAUCGGCCACACUGGAACUGAGACACGGUCCAGACUCCUACGGGAGGCAGCAGUAGGGAAUCCUCCGCAAUGGGCGAAAGCCUGACGGAGCAACGCCGCGUGAGUGAUGAAGGUCUUCGGAUCGUAAAACUCUGUUAUUAGGGAAGAACAAAUGUGUAAGUAACUAUGCACGUCUUGACGGUACCUAAUCAGAAAGCCACGGCUAACUACGUG